ACCUGGGUGGCUCAGUCGGUAGAGCAUGGGACUCUUGAUUUCAGGGUUGUGAGUUCAAGCCCCAUGUUGGGCA
RNAcentral lists this transfer RNA (73 nucleotides) under Felis catus (domestic cat). It matches the Rfam family "tRNA". Rfam says of the family: Transfer RNA (tRNA) molecules are approximately 80 nucleotides in length. Their secondary structure includes four short double-helical elements and three loops (D, anti-codon, and T loops). Further hydrogen bonds mediate the characteristic L-shaped molecular structure. tRNAs have two regions of fundamental functional importance: the anti-codon, which is responsible for specific mRNA codon recognition, and the 3' end, to which the tRNAs corresponding amino acid is attached (by aminoacyl-tRNA synthetases). tRNAs cope with the degeneracy of the genetic code in two manners: having more than one tRNA (with a specific anti-codon) for a particular amino acid; and 'wobble' base-pairing, i.e. permitting non-standard base-pairing at the 3rd anti-codon position. The record is from Rfam by way of RNAcentral. Lineage: Eukaryota; Metazoa; Chordata; Mammalia; Carnivora; Felidae.